AUUUUUAUGUUGACAUAAAAAUGUGUUUAGCUUUUAAGACUUUCAUGUUCCUGAUUAAAUCCACAACAAUUCUUGUAAGGUCAUUAUAUUUUUAUUUUGCAAAUCUUUGAAAAGAUUUUUUCCUUUAACAAACUUCAAUAUAUUACCGUACCAAUUCUUAUUUUAUUUUUUUUCGAUGCCUUUUUUUCACUAAUUUUUGUUUCGUUUCUAAGACAAUUGAUGAAAUUAGAAAGUCUUGAAGGUGCAAGAUUUUUCUUUCUUUCUUUCUUUUUUUUUUUUCAUUUUUAGUUUUUAUUAACUUUGAUUUGUUUUAUAAAAGAACUUGUCAAGUAGUCUUACACGCCACAUGCAAAGAACGUGCUUUUUCACUAGUUUCUUUAUAUAUGAUCCCACACAUAUAUGUUAAUAUAUAUUAUUUAACAAGCCCUUUAAUAGCCAUGUGUAUAUUUUCACAUUACACGCUUUAAUGUUCGUAUAUAUAUUUUUACAUUAGCUACUCUCACUCUCGCUUCUCUCAACUAAUUAGUUAUUGUCGACACUGAACUCUGAUGGAGGGGUGCACGACUUUCUAUCUCAAGAGAUUCCCAAUACCCCUCUAAUGACUUUGUGACAAUCCUGUGAAGAGGGGUGCGAGACUUCCUCUCUGUAAAGAUUCUUGACGCCCAUUCAACGACUUUCUGACGCGUUUUCGAUAAGCUCCAAAUACACUUCCAUCAUGUAGUAGAUUUGGGUUUUUAUGCAUACGGAGAAGAGUUUGAAAGCUUCUGUGUAAUUCUUACACAGAAUGCUUUCUCCUUUCAUCAUUCUUAAAUUUUGGGAUUAUCAGUACCCAUAAUGGUUACUCAUUACUGUUGUGGGUGUUCAUGUGCUUUGGCAACCCAUGGUUGCUAGUGUGUUUAUUUUUUAUUUAUUUUUUUUGCGGCAGGUUUUUGUUGUUUGUGUAGGUUUCUUUAUUUGGGCUUAUGGGAUUUGUUCAAUUUUUCUUUUUUUUCUUCUUUACCUUGUAAGUUUCUUGGUUGUUAUCUAAAGAAAAAAAAUUAAUCCCAAAUUGACCCACUUAACCCAAUAAAAAUAAGUAUAUAUACUUUUCUUAUAUUUUUGUUGUUUGUCUAGUUAAUUUUAUAAUUAAAUAAUAUAAAAUUAAUAUUAAUGUUUUAUAAAUAAGCGUGUUAGGCAGGAAUAAGCUAAAGUUUAUCAUCCUAAAUCCAACUUAAAAAUUAAAUGAAUUUAAAAUUUUAAUUCAAUCUAAUCUUACAAAUAUCGAGCUUAAUUGGGCCAGUGAUGGGCCCAUGAGCACCCCUAUCCCCAACAUUUAAAGCAAAUGACACAGCAAAAGAAUCUCUGGAAGUUUAGGGCAGAUCUCUUCCCCUUCACGCUUCUUCACUUCUGCCUCUCUUCAAGUGUUUGGGUAAAUUGUGGUCUGCCAUCAACAGAAAACGAACAUCACCGAUUUGCUUCGGCUAUUGUCGUCACCAAUCUUCAUGGCCCGUCUGUGUCGGCUAUCUUGCUCGCCACUCUUCAUCGGCUGUCUUCCCACCAAUGUAAAUCUCUUCCCUUCCAUUCUAUACACGAAUCAAUGGAUUGUGGGAAAAAUGACCAACAGUAAAGGAACACUAGUUAUUGGCUACAAUUCAUCGGAAUGUACACCGGCAACAGAAUUCAUUGGCAGCAAUGUAGAUAUUCUAACAGAGAUCCUAACCCGUGUGCCGGCAAAGUUCGUCAUCAGAUUCAAGUGCGUGUCUAAGGAUUGGUUCUCUCUAAUCUCCAAUUCACCAUUUUCUCAACCACUCUAACCGACAUCCCAGUGCCUUGUUCUCAGGACUAUUCAUCAACCCUGUUACAUCAUUUGACGAUGAAAAAGUCAAGUCUGUCUCACUUCACGGCCAACACCAAGUCUUCCGACUUCGUCAUUUCUUGAUGGUGUUGGAUAUGGGUCUGGUACAUGUAGGAUUGAAGACUCUUGCAAAGGCUUACUAUUAUGCUUGAAUGGCCCAACGUGUUUCAUUGUUUGUAACCUGACCACCCAGAAAUACACAGUACUUCCCUAUCAUAGUGGCACUAAGGCAUCUUCUGUACCAUUUCAUAACAAGUUUGGUGUUUUCUUGAGUUCUAUGUUUGGUGGUUAUUUGGCUUUUGAUCCUUCAAAAUCACCUCACUACAAAGUUGUAUUGUUAAGUUACAUUAGGAAUAGUGAUGGCUGCUUUGACUUAAUUGACAUAUACUCUUUGGAGAGCACUUCUUGGACACACAUGCGUGCUGCUGCACCACCAGGUUACCCUUUCGCAAAAUAUUGCACAUAGGUCUUAUUGUUCACUUCAUAAUAUUGCACAUAGGUCUUAUUGUUCGCAUGCUUAUAGGUUAGCAUGAUAAGCAAUAUUGUUCCAUCAUUGCCGCAUGUAGUGCUUGUUUUGUUGCUAAAUGGAAGUAAGGUUCAGUGCCUUCUCUGAAUUUUCUUUCCUUUUCCCUUCAUCUUGUAGACCAAUGUAUGACAAAGUUGAAGAAUAAACAAGAACCUAACUUUCUAUUUUGAUACUUUUCUUUCUCA
Camellia sinensis is the source of this 2545-nucleotide non-coding RNA. The record is from RefSeq and is a predicted model, not a curated record. NCBI's taxonomy places the organism in Eukaryota, Viridiplantae, Streptophyta, Magnoliopsida, Ericales, Theaceae.